This 416-nucleotide ribosomal RNA is filed under the name uncultured eukaryote. RNAcentral's name for it is "SSU rRNA". It matches the Rfam family "Eukaryotic small subunit ribosomal RNA", at positions 592 to 1013 of the family's 1831-position model. The record is from RNAcentral.
CAAUAGCGUAUAUUAAAGUUGUUGCGGUUAAAAAGCUCGUAGUUGGAUUUCUGCCGAGGACGACCGGUCCGCCCUCUGGGUGAGUAUCUGGCUCGGCCUGGGCAUCUUCUUGGAGAACGUAUCUGCACUUGACUGUGUGGUGCGGUAUCCAGGACUUUUACUUUGAGGAAAUUAGAGUGUUUCAAGCAGGCAUACGCCUUGAAUACAUUAGCAUGGAAUAAUAAGAUAGGACCUCGGUUCUAUUUUGUUGGUUCUAGAGCUGAGGUAAUGAUUAAGAGGGACAGUUGGGGGUAUUCGUAUUAUCAUGUCAGAGGUGAAAUUCUUGGAUUUUGGUAAGACGAACUACUGCGAAAGCAUUUACCAAGGAUGUUUUCAUUAAUCAAGAACGAAAGUUAGGGGAUCGAAGAUGAUCAGAU